UGUACACGCUGUGACUAGCAUAUCAAUAAGCGGAGGAAAAGAAACUAACAAGGAUUCCCCUAGUAACGGCGAGUGAAGCGGGAAGAGCUCAAAUUUGAAAUCUUAAAGGGUUUCCCUUUACGAAUUGUAGUUUAAGGCAGUGUUUUCUGUUGAGGUAUUGGUAAAAGUUCUUUGGAAUAGGACAUCAUAGAGGGUGAGAAUCCCGUAUUUGACCUUUACUUUCAACUUUGUGAUACACUUUCAAAGAGUCGGAUUGUUUGGGAAUGCAGUUCAAAAUGGGUGGUAAAUUUCAUCUAAAGCUAAAUAUUGGCGAGAGACCGAUAGCGAACAAGUACCGUGAGGGAAAGAUGAAAAGAACUUUGAAAAGAGAGUUAAACAGUACGUGAAAUUGUCAAAAGGGAAGCGUUUGACACCAGUGUUGUUUUUCUGAAAAUCAAUUAAAGAACUGUUUAUGCUAAGUUGUUUAGACUUUAUCAGCUAUACUGUUUAGUUUUGAGCUUUUCUUUAAUGCACUUUUCAGUUAACAAGUCAACAUCAAUUUCUUUUGCUGUAAAAAAGCUUGAGGAAGGUGGCUUGAGAUUCGUCUUAAGUGUUUAUAGCCUCUUGCCUAUGCAGUCGGAGAGAUUGAGGUCUGCAGCGUAGAUCCUUCGGGGCUAAAUGCAUUCGUGCUAAGUUAUAGCAUUUUAUAGACAACUUGUUGACUAUGAUUUGUCUUGUAGCUUACUCGCUUAUGUUAUUUUACCUACGCUUAGGAUGUUGAGUCGUAGAGCACGCAG
Molecule: ribosomal RNA, 776 nt
Filed under: uncultured Neocallimastigales
Lineage: Eukaryota; Fungi; Neocallimastigomycota; Neocallimastigomycetes; Neocallimastigales
Description: partial large subunit ribosomal RNA
Rfam family: Eukaryotic large subunit ribosomal RNA
Source: RNAcentral